Sus scrofa (pig) is the source of this 1839-nucleotide long non-coding RNA. RefSeq lists it as uncharacterized. Lineage: Eukaryota; Metazoa; Chordata; Mammalia; Artiodactyla; Suidae. The record is from RefSeq and is a predicted model, not a curated record.
UCGGCACUCGCGUCCCUUUGGUAACACUGUAUGGCCAGGGCUGUGCCUCACUCGCUGGCCUUUCCCCCAGCGCUGGAUGGCGCUUCAAUCAGAUGACAGGGUGUCAGGCACACCUUUAGCAGGGACAGAGGUUAAAGACCGCCCUUUGGCACAAAGGUUAGCGCGGUACCCCUCCUGCUGGUGUCCUCUUGCACAGUGAUGGGAGUCCAGGCUUUCUCCGGGAGGCCCCUGCUGCCCUUUGGAAGGCUAAGGCCCUUUCCUCCUUCGAAUUUAAUUAGGAUUUCCCCCCACACCCAAACCUCUUAAAUCUUCUUCACCUGCUUGUUCUCAAGAGCCACGUGAAAGGACCCAGACACUCUGAUGUAAAGAACCUGACCUAGAAAUUGCCGUACGGCUAACGAGGUUUGAGCUCCAAAAGUGAGGGAAGAAUGCUGAAUCAUCCUGCUCCUAACAACCAAACUGGAACGCACCCUCUUUUCCAGGUCGGCCUCGUUUCUUCUGUCUCGGCGUCUGCCCCGAGUGUGGGCCUACACUUGCUUCUUGAAAUUGUUCAUGUUAAGACCUGCGAGUGACCAAAGAACUUCAUCGGCAUCCGGGACUCUGUCUCCGAAUAAGUACAUGUCCUCCUCACAAAACCAGUUACACAUCCACUCCUGACCCCCCAGAUGCAGAGGGAAUCACAGUGCCUUUUAAGGCAAUUCCCUCAGUCAUCCAACAAACACCAACUGAAGGCCUACUAAGCACCCGUGCCAGAGUCUCCAUUUGAAGAAUCCUCAGUCAUUAAGAAGGAUUGAGAAUAAUUCACAAAUACGUGUGGAAUGAAGAACGUGUGGUUUCUGAGAAGGAAAUGGCAGUGGACAGGACUCUCAUGCUACAUCCAGCAGGAAGGUGGAGGCGAUGUGUUUUCUACAAGAGCGUCUCAGGCACCUGAAGAUCAUUUACUCUUCCCAAAUCUGCCAGCUACAGCCUGAAAUUCUCAUCUCUGGGUUUGGGUUCCCGCCAGCCUCCACAGAGGAAAGAUCGGGAGUAACUUUAAGCAACUGGCAGAGUCCCUGCUCACACCUGCUCCAACCUGACUCCGUCACCUCCUCCCACAGGAAUCUCAAGAAGGAACGGAAAGAAGCGAAGAUACGUCAUUUAACUUCCUAAACGACAAUAUCGCUGUCCAGCCUCAAUUCAGUUCAAUUCCACAUCUGCUGAGAAAGGUACUGUGGGCUGCUUAUGUCCUAAAGCAUACUUAUUCCGUUUCACUGGCUUGGAAUUAGGAGAUGAGGUUUUAGCCACCGGAUUGCCGCUAACUAGCGGGAUGGCGCUGCGCACGUCACUCCAUCGCCUGGAGCCGAAUCAGGUUCUUCACGUGCGAAACGAAGGGGUCAGAAUGGAUGCUGUCUCACUGCGUUCCAGCUCUCACACCAACCCUCCAACGGGAAAGAGCAUCAGGGUCAUCCCCACUCUAUUUCAGAGCCAGUGAGUUCUAAAGUUUAUUUCAGAGGAAUACUUUGGCUCAGCAAAUUGCCAGUGGUUUUCUACAGUUGACUCUAGAAGAAACUAGGAAAUAUACUGAGUAUCUUUAUUCAUUCAAAUAUAUUUACUGAGUGCCUGUUAUGUGUGAGACACCACUUAGACACUGUCACAACACCGAACAAAGCAACAAGCUCACUCUUCCCAUGGAAUUCAUUUCCUUGUGUGUUAAAGGAAAUGCACCCCCCAUGCACCAAAUACAUCUUCAGCUGCUUUGGAUGUGGCAGAAACAGCGAUCUAAUAGGGUUGUUUUGUGCGUUGGGAUGUGUGGGGAACAAUCUCUGAGUUAGCAAAAAAUUAAAACCGCUCAAAAAAAAA